RNAcentral lists this ribosomal RNA (433 nucleotides) under uncultured bacterium. Its description in RNAcentral is "partial 16S ribosomal RNA". It matches the Rfam family "Bacterial small subunit ribosomal RNA", at positions 29 to 507 of the family's 1533-position model. The record is from RNAcentral.
AACGAACGCUGGCGGCAUGCCUAACACAUGCAAGUCGAACGAGACCUUCGGGUCUAGUGGCGAACGGGUGCGUAACGCGUGGGAACCUGCCCUUAGGUUCGGAAUAACUCCCCGAAAGGGGUGCUAAUACCGGAUAAUGUCUUCGGACCAAAGAUUUAUCGCCUUUGGAUGGGCCCGCGUUGGAUUAGCUAGUUGGUAGGGUAAAAGCCUACCAAGGCGACGAUCCAUAGCUGGUCUGAGAGGAUGAUCAGCCACACUGGGGCUGAGACACGGCCCAGACUCCUACGGGAGGCAGCAGUGGGGAAUAUUGGACAAUGGGCGAAAGCCUGAUCCAGCAAUGCCGCGUGAGUGAUGAAGGCCUUAGGGUUGUAAAGCUCUUUUACCCGGGAUGAUAAUGACAGUACCGGGAGAAUAAGCGCCGGCUAACUCCGUG